This 218-nucleotide ribosomal RNA is filed under the name uncultured bacterium. Its description in RNAcentral is "partial 16S ribosomal RNA". It matches the Rfam family "Bacterial small subunit ribosomal RNA", at positions 326 to 539 of the family's 1533-position model. The record is from RNAcentral.
ACGCUCGACACCUACGGAAGGCAGCAGUGAGGAAUAUUGGUCAAUGGGCGCUAGCCUGAACCAGCCAAGUAGCGUGAAGGAUGAAGGCUCUAUGGGUCGUAAACUUCUUUUAUAUAAGAAUAAAGUGCAGUAUGUAUACUGUUUUGUAUGUAUUAUAUGAAUAAGGAUCGGCUAACUCCGUGCCAACAGCCGCGGUAAUCUGAGCGGGCUGGCAAGGC